UGGGGAAUAUUGGACAAUGGAGGGAACUCUGAUCCAGCAAUUCUGUGUGUGUGAAGAAGGUUCUAGGCCUGUAAAACACUUUUAGUAGGGAAGAAAAAAAUGACGGUACCUACAGAAGAAGCAACGGCUAAAUACGUGCCAGCAGCCGCGGUAAUACGUAUGUUGCGAGCGUUAUCCGGAAUUAUUGGGCUUAAAGGGCAUCUAGGCGGUAAGACAAGUUGAAGGUGAAAACCUGUGGCUCAACCAUAGGCUUGCCUACAAAACUGUUGAACUAGAGUACUGGAAAGGUGGGUGGAACUACACGAGUAGAGGUGAAAUUCGUAGAUAUGUGUAGGAAUGCCGAUGAUGAAGAUAACUCACUGGACAGAAACUGACGCUGAAGUGCGAAAGCUAGGGGAGCAAACAGG
RNAcentral lists this ribosomal RNA (407 nucleotides) under Verrucomicrobiota bacterium. Its description in RNAcentral is "Verrucomicrobia bacterium partial 16S ribosomal RNA". It matches the Rfam family "Bacterial small subunit ribosomal RNA", at positions 355 to 776 of the family's 1533-position model. Lineage: Bacteria; Pseudomonadati; Verrucomicrobiota. The record is from RNAcentral.